Ricinus communis (castor bean) is the source of this 3214-nucleotide RNA transcript. It is a transcript of the gene named aspartic proteinase 36, with no coding region annotated. The record is from RefSeq and is a predicted model, not a curated record. The transcript has 11 exons. Lineage: Eukaryota; Viridiplantae; Streptophyta; Magnoliopsida; Malpighiales; Euphorbiaceae.
GCGAGGGAGUUUAGAAAGCCACUACUCCUCCCAAAUUGCAUCUCUCUCCAAGCCGCAAUAACAACAAUGGGACGAAGGAAAAUGCUAGCAUGGAAUGGAAGUGUGUGUGGGUCCCCACACCCUUUCACUGGAAAAACAAAAGGAAAGAAAAAGUCUUCCAAGUCAGUGGAUUAACAAAAUCAAAAUCAAAAUCAAAAUCAAAAUCCUUCCCCUCUCUCUCGCGCUAUUGAAAAUCCUAAAAUUAUAUAAAAAAAAUGGAUAUGAUAUGCUCUGUGGUUACCAGGAGGAACCGUUUCACUUUAAUCUUCUUCUUAGUCGUAGUAAUAAUAAUAGUAUUGAUUCCUGCCGUCUCCUCUGAUAGCGGCGUCUUUAGCGUAAAGUACAGAUACGCAGGCCAACAACGCUCUCUCAGUGACCUAAAAGCACACGACGAUCGCCGCCAGCUCCGUAUUCUCGCCGGCGUCGAUCUCCCUCUCGGCGGUAGCGGUCGUCCUGAUACUGUCGGGCUUUAUUAUGCUAAGGUUGGAAUUGGAACUCCUUCAAAGGACUAUUAUGUACAGGUGGAUACAGGGAGUGAUAUUAUGUGGGUUAAUUGCAUUCAAUGUAGGGAAUGCCCUAGAACGAGCUCUCUUGGUAUGGAACUUACACUAUAUAAUAUAAAGGAUUCAGUCAGCGGGAAGCUAGUUCCUUGUGAUGAGGAGUUUUGCUAUGAGGUAAAUGGAGGUCCAUUAUCUGGCUGUACUGCAAAUAUGUCUUGUCCUUAUCUUGAGAUAUAUGGAGAUGGGAGCUCUACUGCAGGUUAUUUUGUGAAGGAUGUUGUGCAGUAUGAUAGGGUAUCUGGUGAUCUCCAAACUACAUCCUCUAAUGGAAGUGUUAUAUUUGGGUGUGGGGCUAGACAAUCAGGGGAUUUAGGCCCAACUAAUGAAGAAGCUCUUGAUGGCAUACUUGGUUUUGGGAAAUCAAAUUCGUCAAUGAUUUCGCAGUUGGCUGCCACUAGGAAAGUGAAAAAGAUAUUUGCUCAUUGCUUAGAUGGUAUAAAUGGUGGUGGUAUCUUUGCUAUUGGGCAUGUUGUGCAGCCAAAAGUUAACAUGACACCGUUGAUACCAAACCAGCCCCAUUACAAUGUCAAUAUGACGGCAGUUCAAGUUGGUGAAGAUUUCCUACAUCUUCCAACAGAAGAGUUCGAGGCAGGAGAUCGGAAGGGAGCAAUAAUAGAUAGCGGUACAACCUUGGCCUAUCUCCCAGAAAUUGUUUAUGAACCAUUAGUCAGUAAGAUAAUCUCUCAGCAACCUGAUCUGAAAGUUCAUAUUGUACGUGAUGAAUAUACAUGUUUUCAGUAUUCUGGAAGUGUGGAUGAUGGAUUUCCAAAUGUCACCUUUCAUUUUGAAAACUCAGUUUUCUUGAAGGUCCAUCCACAUGAAUAUUUAUUUCCAUUUUUUUUGCAAAAACACCCACAUGAUGCUUUGUCCAGAAGAAUCAGUCUGCCUUUGGAACCAGGAAUUAUAAAUUUGCUGCUUCUGGGAAGGUUUAUGGUGUAUUGGAUGGCAAAAUAGUGGAAUGCAAUCAAGGGAUAGAAGGAACAUGACUCUUUUAGGAGAUUUAGUACUUUCAAAUAGGCUAGUUUUGUAUGAUCUCGAAAAUCAGGCAAUUGGAUGGACCGAGUACAACUGUUAAAAAUAUUUUGCGGAUUUAAAAAACAUUUUAAGCUUUUGGGGACCAGUUUUUGCUCUUAAUUUCGGGGACUAAAAUGACAUUACCCAAAUAAGAAUACAUUGCUACCGAACCUUCCAAACAUUGUGGAAGUGCUUUUGGAAGCCUGUUCAGGCAUUUAAGAUGCUUGUGAAGUCACCGGACUGGAACAAUGAGCUAUAUGAGAUAUUGUAAUCUCUUAUUUACAAUUGAAUGAUGAUUAGAAGAAAAUUUUUAAUCUCUGAAACAGUUUUAAUUAGAAAGCCUUAAUUUCUUAGACCAUGAAACUCUAUAGCAACUUCAGAAGAUAAUAAGAAACUAAUAUUGUGUAUUCUCUAUAUGGUUUGCUUUUGGUCUUUGAAGUUCUCCGUGAACUGUGGGUGCCUCAAAUGACGCCUAGAUUAAGCUUUUGGUUGUAAGGUGGAUCUUUAGAAAGAUUGCAGAUAAGUGAAUGGUUAUUUAUGUGAGUGGUGUUGCACUCUUUUAUGUGCUGUUUUAGGUAAAGGAAAGAUGAAAACCAUAAAUUCUUUCUGAGAGCGAAAGCAAUAUUUGUUGAGGGCUUGGACUCUUGCCUAAGGUCAGGUUUUGGGGAUUUUUUUUUUAUUAUUAUUUUAUUUUAUGCUUUCUAGGGGGGAGCCUAGAACUAGCUGCAAAUCAGACAGAGAAUCAAAGUAAUCAUAGACUGAAUUAUAAAUAUCAAACUGUUGCUAGGAAAGAAAAUUGAAAAAAAAAACAGUAUGGGACCUGUUUGCUCAAUCUAUCAUCUUUGUUUGUCGUGUUCUUCCUUUCAGUUAUCCUCUUUCCUCUUGUCAUGCUACUGUAAUAAUCUAGUUAAAUCUAGAAAGACAUGCCUCUAUAAUUUAAACCAUUUAUUUGUUCAAUUUGUAUUUAAAAGCAAAAUUGAUAUGUGAAAUGUAGUAAAAAAGAUUUAAUCUUAAAAUUAAAGCCGCUAUGUAUUAUUUUCAUUAUAUUGAUGCGCACUAAAAAUCAAUUUGGGACUUCUAUAUUUAGUUCUUAAAACGCCUAGUCAAAUUUUUUAAUAAAAAACUAACUAGAGAAAUUAUAAAACUAGACAUCCACUAGAUUUUGAAUUGAAAUUUUAAAUAGUUUCUUAAGUUUCAAGCUGUAACUUCUUAAACAAUAGUGCUUAAAUCUUAAUCUACUCCAUAGUUGGCAGGCGGAGUCCUUCUGGUAUUUAACUUUCUACAUUUUACACAUGAUAUGAAUUUAGGGAUCAAUUAUUCACGAAGAACCUGAAAUCUUCUCAUUAAAUUUCUUAUAUGGAAAGAAAAUUGUGGUGGUUAGUCUUUAUUUAACUUAUUAAUCACUAUUUGCAUUUCUGAACUUCUGUCAAAUGUAAAGGAAAUAAAUUCUGCCAUUGUGGUUUCAAAUCCUCAAAGUAAAGAACAGCAAAGAAAUUUACAUCCCAUUUGACUCUUUAACUAAAUGUGCCUUGUUAAAUUCAUUGUCAAUCUAAAUAUAUUCUCUUAUAUAGUUCCAUUUGUGCUGAUUUUUCUGUGGAUGA